RNAcentral lists this ribosomal RNA (404 nucleotides) under Actinomycetes bacterium. Its description in RNAcentral is "Actinobacteria bacterium partial 16S ribosomal RNA". It matches the Rfam family "Bacterial small subunit ribosomal RNA", at positions 355 to 776 of the family's 1533-position model. Lineage: Bacteria; Bacillati; Actinomycetota; Actinomycetes. The record is from RNAcentral.
UGGGGAAUAUUGGACAAUGGGCGCAAGCCUGAUCCAGCCAUGCCGCGUGAGUGAUGAAGGCCCUAGGGUUGUAAAGCUCUUUCACCGGUGAAGAUAAUGACGGUAACCGGAGAAGAAGCCCCGGCUAACUUCGUGCCAGCAGCCGCGGUAAUACGAAGGGGGCUAGCGUUGUUCGGAUUUACUGGGCGUAAAGCGCACGUAGGCGGACUAUUAAGUCAGGGGUGAAAUCCCGGGGCUCAACCCCGGAACUGCCUUUGAUACUGGUAAUCUUGAGUUCGAGAGAGGGGAGUGGAAUUCCGAGUGUAGAGGUGAAGUUCGUAGAUAGUCGGAGGAACACCAGUGGCGAAGGCGGCUCACUGGCUCGAUACUGACGCUGAGGUGCGAAAGCGUGGGGAGCAAACAGG